AAGCAUAUAAGUAAGCGGAGGAAAAGAAAAUGAAAAUGAUUCCCUUAGUAAUGGCGAAUGAACCGGGAAGAGCUCAACUUGUAAAUCGGGAACCUCGUUCUUGAAUUGUAGUCUUGAUAAGCAUUACCAGCGUUGGAUCGGGCGUAAGUCAACUUGGAAGAUUGCGUCAGAGAGGGUGAGAAUCCCGUAUUUCCUUCGUUCGGUCCCCGGCGCGGUCGGUGUGCUGUUUUAGAGUCGCGUACUUUGGACCUGGUGCGCAAAAUGGGAGGUAAUCUUCUUCUAAAGCUAAAUACUGACUCGAGACCGAUAGCAAACAAGUACCGUGAGGGAAAGGUGAAAAGGACUUUGGAAAGAGAGUUAAAAGUGUCUGAAAUCGC
This 377-nucleotide ribosomal RNA is filed under the name Dehalococcoidia bacterium. RNAcentral's name for it is "partial 23S ribosomal RNA". It matches the Rfam family "Eukaryotic large subunit ribosomal RNA", at positions 36 to 408 of the family's 3401-position model. The record is from RNAcentral. Lineage: Bacteria; Bacillati; Chloroflexota; Dehalococcoidia.